GGCACUAUAGCCAAGUGGUUAAGGCGACAGAUUAGAAUUUGCUUGAAGAUAGCACCUCCAUCUGUUACUCUCUGAGUGCGCAGGUUCAAAUCCUGCUGGUGUCG
RNAcentral lists this transfer RNA (104 nucleotides) under Armillaria solidipes. It matches the Rfam family "tRNA". From Rfam's summary of the family: Transfer RNA (tRNA) molecules are approximately 80 nucleotides in length. The record is from Rfam by way of RNAcentral. Lineage: Eukaryota; Fungi; Basidiomycota; Agaricomycetes; Agaricales; Physalacriaceae.